UGGAUUUAUCAGAGACUCAUUCAGGAUGUUGUUUCCUUUUUCUUCCUCCCACAAUAAAAUCUCAGCCUUUUCACCAUCAGAUCGAAAGAAGAGGACUGUUUUUACAGAUUUUGCUUGAAUCUCUUUACACCACAAUGCUGCAGAAUUCUGGGUUCUGACUGGCUGAAAGGUGUUCAUUAAUCCCUGAUUUUGACCCUGAAGAGGAAAAUCACAAGACCUGAGUGUGAAGCAUUUAAGGAGCUUUAAAGAGAACAAUAUGCAGCUUUCUUGUGUGUUUUUUUAAUUAUUAUUUACACUUAGUGAUUUCUAUGUGUUCAUGACAAGUAAUAAAAUCUUUUUCAUUACUGUAAUGACUUAGAGAUAAAUUGUUAGUAAAUUGUGUGUAAUAGAUGAGUAACAGAUGAUUAAUGUGCUUUAUUGAUUAUUUGCAUUGUUUAUUGCAAUGACAGCAAACUACAGGGUGUGUAUUCGGUGAAAAAAUCUAAAGAUAAGAAAGAUAAAGAAAAACAGAUUCAUGGCCCAUGAGUACAUUUUUAUUUCUCAUGAUCAGUCAGCAGUUUUUUUUCUUCUCUACUCCAGCUAGCUGUUUCACUUGUUUGAUUUUUUUUAAAUCAUAAAAUAUAACUAAAGCAAAAGAAUUUAUGAGAAUGUGUGAAUUUAACACACACAUAAUAUCUGUUACAGUAUAUUAGCAGUACAAUGGGACCAAAUGAUCAGUUUGAAGAAAUUUAAAAACUAAUUAAAAAGAAAAAAGUAGUUCCUUGACGCCACCUAGUGUCUGAACCAGCAAUCUGAUUUUUUAUUUA
Long non-coding RNA from Pangasianodon hypophthalmus (striped catfish), 806 nucleotides. RefSeq lists it as uncharacterized. NCBI's taxonomy places the organism in Eukaryota, Metazoa, Chordata, Actinopteri, Siluriformes, Pangasiidae. The transcript is spliced from 3 exons. The record is from RefSeq and is a predicted model, not a curated record.